AGAGUGACAUUGGUGUAGGGCCCUUCGCCCAUAUCACAGAACAUGGAGCACCAUGAGACAUGACAUCAGUGACCAGUGAAUCUACUGUAUGUGCCAUGGGUAAGAAAAUAUUUCUUUUUCUAUUAUAUUGAUAUUCAUCCUUGCUCUGGGCCCUUGUUUUCCAGGUUUGAGAUAUGAUAUGGACUCAUCUUCAUAGUCUGAGAACAGGAGGCUCACUGAUGGGGGAGUUUGUGAUUAGGUUGUAAGACCUGGCAACUUCCUCUGUCCCAUUACUUUCUGCCCAGAUGUAUACUGUGAUGGCAGCCUUUGGAUGAAGAGCUCAUGGAGGAUUUUGUCCAUUUCUUGUGUUAGUUUGUGUGUAUACAUAUAAUUUACUAAGAUAAAAGUCAGCUACUGGAGGACAGGCUUUUCUAUGCCCAGCACCUAAAACCCUGAAUGGGGUACCUGAUUCUUAACAAAUGAUUACUGCUUCAUUUUCCAUUUAACCUGAGCAGAUAUCUAUCCAGCAGUUUGUCUGAGCCACACGCCUUAUCUCAUCUGAGGGCAAGAUGACAGGACAGAUCCAUCUAUAUAUCAGUCUCAGCUUAUUUAAUACUUUCUCAUGGUGGCCAUUCACCCUAGAGCACAAGGAGAUCCUAAUUCCUGUCACAGUCUUUUUGUUUUGAAAGGGCUUGUCAGGGAGAAGGUGCUAAUGUGAGGGGUUGGGGAUUGGUUGCUCUUCUCAGAAAGUUCAAAAUCCUCACAGGCUCUGGGGAUCUCUGUCCAAAUGACUCCAAACUUCCCCCAUCAACUCUUAGGCAUACUUCAACUAACUGCUUUGGUCACAGGAUUCUCUACUGAGACUUCAGGGACACUGAAGAAAGUGAGUGGAUCUGACCAGGGAAGAGAACCAACAAACUCCACCAGUAUCCCUAUGACUGGCUUUAUCGGGAGAGAUUCCAUUGAUGACACUGAAAAGGACAUACGUGUCAUGGAGACAACUCCAAGAGCCACAGCCACUCAAGACCUACUUCUCACUGUGCCCACUGGAGAAGGUGACCUCAUCCCUGGGAUGCACAGGAGAACUGUGUCCUCUCCCACCAAAACCUCAGUUCCAUCUGAGAUAUCCUCUGGAGUCACCAUUGCCAUUGCAAGGACCUCACUCUCCAUGACUCCAGUAGAAAUCACAGCUAGGUCCGGCUACAGUGCUCCCUUAAACAUCAGCCUAAGCACAAGAACAGCUUCCCUUGAGCCUGCUACUUCGUUGGAGGACCCAAGGCCAGCCGGCCUGACUCCAGAAACUGAGAGAAACCCACAGGCAACACCAACUCCAGCUAUCACCCUGCCUCCAGCCAGCACACAGGAAGUUUGCACAACAGCAUCUCCCAGUCCUCCUGACACAACCACAGAGGGCAGCAGUGUCCAGGCAGGGACAGCCUCUGUUUCUGAUCAGGUGCCUUCCACUUCCAGCCUCUUCCCAAGAGGUGAUGCUGGUGUGUUGCCAGUCACACAUGCCCAAGGCCAUGAUGCACCAGGAAGCACAGUAGCACCAAUAAGUAGCCCCCUGACCCCUGUGUCUACUAUUAUUCCCUCAGGUAAGUAG
Molecule: long non-coding RNA, 1582 nt
Organism: Monodelphis domestica (gray short-tailed opossum)
Lineage: Eukaryota; Metazoa; Chordata; Mammalia; Didelphimorphia; Didelphidae
Source: Ensembl